Molecule: long non-coding RNA, 510 nt
Organism: Empidonax traillii (willow flycatcher)
Lineage: Eukaryota; Metazoa; Chordata; Aves; Passeriformes; Tyrannidae
Exons: 3
Source: RefSeq, a predicted model, not a curated record
CUGAGAUCAGAUGCCUUAGGAUGUUUAGGGUGGGAAUCACUGUGGCUUACCACGAGACACCAGGUGUGAUGUCCCCUCUGCAAGUAUGCACAGACAUUCAGUAUGCAAGUAAAAAUCAUCAUCAAGGAAAAUUUAGACGGAAGCACCUUACCACCCAACAGUCUUUUAAGCACAGAAGCAGAAUCCUACUGGAGAAGUUUGCACUAUGAGAAAAGUGACGAUAUUAAAUUGUUUCCAGGCAGGUAAAAGCCAUCACAUCUACAGAUGCGGACAAAGGUACUAAUGUCCAUGUGAUUUCCAUAGUAUUCCUAAUUAGCUUGGAAGGCACACUAGACUGACAAGAUGACUGCAAAAGAAUAAUUUUUCUACCCAAAGCAUAUAGUCUUUGGAAAAACUGUCCAGUUCCUGGUUUUCAUCUGCCUUUAAUAACUUAUUGAGCUGUUUAAAAGUAAAUCUGUGAACCAAAUUUAUUUCAAAACUAAAAAGUUAAUUUUAAAUAUGAUUUGAUGA